CGGGUUUACUCCUGGAUUACCUGUUCGCCUGGCCGGAGCCGGGCGACGUUUUGGUGUCUGAUUCGCUAGGCGAAUCGGGAGCACCAUCUGCGUAGGCUUGAGGUUUAAGGCUUGCGCCGCCUACGGUCUUGGAUAGCCCCCGCCAGGCAGGGACCCCAAUUUUUUCAAGCCGGCGGAUCGCUCCACCG
Molecule: small RNA, 188 nt
Filed under: Pseudomonas sp. 8AS
Lineage: Bacteria; Pseudomonadati; Pseudomonadota; Gammaproteobacteria; Pseudomonadales; Pseudomonadaceae
Description: Pseudomonas sRNA P27
Rfam family: Pseudomonas sRNA P27
Source: Rfam by way of RNAcentral